UACGGAGGGUGCAAGCGUUAUCCGGAUUCACUGGGUUUAAAGGGUGCGUAGGUGGGUUGGUAAGUCAGUGGUGAAAUCUCCGUGCUUAACAUGGAAACUGCCAUUGAUACUACUGAUCUUGAAUUUUCGGGAGGUAAGCGGAAUAUGUCAUGUAGCGGUGAAAUGCCUAGAUAUGACAUAGAACACCAAUUGCGAAAGGCAGCUUACUACAGGAAUAUUGACACUGAUGCACGAAAGCGUGGGGAUCAAACAGG
Molecule: ribosomal RNA, 254 nt
Filed under: uncultured bacterium
Lineage: Bacteria
Description: partial 16S ribosomal RNA
Rfam family: Bacterial small subunit ribosomal RNA
Source: RNAcentral